UAUUAUGAGAGUUUGAUCCUGGCUCAGGACGAACGCUGGCGGCGUGCCUAAUACAUGCAAGUCGAACGCUUCUUUCCUCCCGAGUGCUUGCACUCAAUUGGAAAGAGGAGUGGCGGACGGGUGAGUAACACGUGGGUAACCUACCCAUCAGAGGGGGAUAACACUUGGAAACAGGUGCUAAUACCGCAUAACAGUUUAUGCC
Molecule: ribosomal RNA, 202 nt
Filed under: Enterococcus faecalis
Lineage: Bacteria; Bacillati; Bacillota; Bacilli; Lactobacillales; Enterococcaceae
Description: partial 16S ribosomal RNA
Rfam family: Bacterial small subunit ribosomal RNA
Source: RNAcentral